GACGUAGGGCGCAAGCGUUAUCCGGAAUUAUUGGGCGUAAAGAGCUCGUAGGCGGUUUGUCGCGUCUGCCGUGAAAGUCCGGGGCUCAACUCCGGAUCUGCGGUGGGUACGGGCAGACUAGAGUGAUGUAGGGGAGACUGGAAUUCCUGGUGUAGCGGUGAAAUGCGCAGAUAUCAGGAGGAACACCGGUGGCGAAGGCGGGUCUCUGGGCCGAUACUGACGCUGAGGAGCGAAAGCGUGGGGAGCGAACAGG
Molecule: ribosomal RNA, 253 nt
Filed under: uncultured bacterium
Lineage: Bacteria
Description: partial 16S ribosomal RNA
Rfam family: Bacterial small subunit ribosomal RNA
Source: RNAcentral